UGGUCCUACGGGAGGCAGCAGUGGGGAAUAUUGCACAAUGGGGGAAACCCUGAUGCAGCGACGCCGCGUGAAGGAAGAAGUAUUUCGGUAUGUAAACUUCUAUCAGCAGGGAAGAAAAUGACGGUACCUGACUAAGAAGCCCCGGCUAACUACGUGCCAGCAGCCGCGGUAAUACGUAGGGGGCAAGCGUUAUCCGGACUUACUGGGUGUAAAGGGAGCGUAGGCGGUUUAGCAAGUCAGAAGUGAAAGCCCGGGGCUCAACUCCGGGACUGCCUUUGAAACUGGCAAACUGGAGUGUGUGAGAG
Molecule: ribosomal RNA, 305 nt
Filed under: uncultured bacterium
Lineage: Bacteria
Description: bacterial SSU rRNA
Rfam family: Bacterial small subunit ribosomal RNA
Source: RNAcentral